Molecule: transfer RNA, 77 nt
Filed under: Venatoribacter cucullus
Lineage: Bacteria; Pseudomonadati; Pseudomonadota; Gammaproteobacteria; Oceanospirillales; Oceanospirillaceae
Also listed under: 1 other name
Description: Oceanospirillaceae bacterium xL5 tRNA-Pro
Rfam family: tRNA
About the family: Transfer RNA (tRNA) molecules are approximately 80 nucleotides in length. Their secondary structure includes four short double-helical elements and three loops (D, anti-codon, and T loops).
Source: RNAcentral
CGGAGUGUAGCACAGCCUGGUAGUGCACUGCGUUCGGGACGCAGGGGUCGGAGGUUCGAAUCCUCUCACUCCGACCA